RNAcentral lists this long non-coding RNA (1493 nucleotides) under Manihot esculenta (cassava). RNAcentral describes it as "long non-coding RNA (MESC_LNC005041)". The record is from RNAcentral. Lineage: Eukaryota; Viridiplantae; Streptophyta; Magnoliopsida; Malpighiales; Euphorbiaceae.
CCAAAAUAAAGAUAUAGGACAAAGUAUUAUUACCAAUACGUGGUGAAUUAGCAUAUGAAGCCCAUAAAAUUCAGAUAAAUGGAUGAAGAUAAAGGAUGAAUAAGCAUAUAUGGGUACAACUUGGAGGAGACUUAAAGCUCAAACAACUAUGGAGAAGAACAGUCUAUUUAUGCAACACGAGAAGGCUACCUCCAAAUUAUGCAGCCAAAUAUUUGACUUCUAAAUUAAAAUAAAAGCACUAGCAUAAUCUAUUUCAAGUAUAGAGGUGAUGCAUAAUCAGAUUGCCUCAGAGCAUUAUACAUCGUGGCACCUAAUAUAUGCACGCAUCCAUGACUUUGAGACAAAGUAUGUGCUUCAUCACAAAGUAUUCACUUUUCAUGUCCUUAAUCCGGAGGCUGAAUUGAAAUGCCCAUGGCCUCUCUUAUACUAAUGGACAGAGAGCUUACCUUCUUGGAUGAUUGGAUGAGGCCCUCCACUUCACCAGAAAGCUUACCUUCUUGGAUGGUUGGAUUAGGCCCCCACUUUACCAAUUCAAAAUUGACAGAAUGUUCUCUAUUUCUCUUUUCUUUUCUCUUUUAGAAGGUGGAAAAAAGAGAGAAAACAAAAACUUUGUUCACAUUAUUAACUUCAUAUUUUCUAGACCAACUAUUUUAAUGAAUUAAGUAGGUAUUCUUGAAAUUAGAGUCUGAAAAAGGAAAUCUCACAUACUUUUAUAGAUGUGCCAUACAGCAUAUGUCUCUUAAUUUAAACAUUUCCGACUGUUUAGUUAAUUUAAUUGCUAUCGUGCAUCCAAGGCAACCCCACAGUAUUUACUGUUCAUGAUGCCUAACCAUCAGUGCUAAGUUCAAAAGCUUAACCUAGAGUCCGAGACGAAAGGGGUCCAGAUAAUGGAGGCAAUGCCAUAGCUGCAGUAACUCAGCACAGUUGCAAGAAAACGUGAGAAUUAUCAAGGUCUGCAAAUAAUAUGAGGCUCAACAGAAACAAAUAUUCAUCCCUAUUUGUAGCCAAAAUUAUACAACUAGCUUUUAGAAAUGUAAAUCUGCUCAUGAAUGAACUGUAAGACAGUUAGCACAACUUGUUAGCUGCCAAGUAUUCAUCCAAGGCAACCCCACAGUAUUUACUGUUCAUGAUGCCUAACCAUCAGUGCUAAGUUCAAAAGCUUAACCUAGAGUCCGAGACGAAAGGGGUCCAGAUAAUGGAGGCAAUGCCAUAGCUGCAGUAACUCAGCACAGUUGCAAGAAAACGUGAGAAUUAUCAAGGUCUGCAAAUAAUAUGAGGCUCAACAGAAACAAGUAUUCAUCCCUAUUUGUAGCCAAAAUUAUACAACUAGCUUUUAGAAAUGUAAAUCUGCUCAUUAAUGAACUGUAAGACAGUUAGCACAACUUGUUAGCUGCCGAGUUGCAUGCUUAUCCACCACUUUGGUGAAAUGCAUGUGUUUGUGUAUAUAUAUAUAGAUAUAUUCAACUCAAUAAAUCUAUUUGGAAACUUACACC